Rosa chinensis is the source of this 2189-nucleotide RNA transcript. It is a transcript of the gene named ALBINO3-like protein 2, chloroplastic, with no coding region annotated. Lineage: Eukaryota; Viridiplantae; Streptophyta; Magnoliopsida; Rosales; Rosaceae. The record is from RefSeq and is a predicted model, not a curated record. The transcript is spliced from 16 exons.
GCCACACACCACUCAUUUUCACAGAGCCGGUCACGGCGACGGAGCCACGGCGGAGACUGAUCGAGAUUCGCAUUUUCUAUCAUGGCAUCGUCAUCCUACUACCUCCGUCGCCGCUCCGCCGCCUCCCUCCUCCUCCGCGCUCUCUCUCAGUCUCAGUCUCACUCUCAUCCUCCGGCGCGUCAAUUCCACCUCCUCGAGAACCCUAACCUUCUCUCUCCUCACGUCCCUGAUCUCACUCGGAGCAGGAGCAGCAGUGCCUACUCGUUUGCUCCGACUCGCACUCUCACUCUCACUCCCUCUCUGUGUUUGGAUUUGGAUCAACUCGCCGGAGUUGACUCGGCGGCGACUCCGUCGGCGGUUUUGAAUUCCGGCGCUGCUGAAGGGUCGCUGCUGCACCUGCGUCCCAUUCAGGACUUGAUUUCAGUGCUCGAUUGGUUCCAUCAGCUCACUGGUUUACCAUGGUGGCUAGUUAUAGUUUCCUCCAGUUUGGCAAUGAGAAUUGCAUUGCUCCCCAUACUCAUUGUGCAACUCAAAAGGUUGAAAAGGAUUGAACCAUUUCUUCCCAGAUUGCCUCCUCCCGGGUCAUCUUGCUACUUAGCAAAGAGUUACUUUCGUCGAAUUUCUCUGUUUGAAAAGAGGAGGAGGGAAAUAGGAUGUCCCUCAUUUUUAUGGCUAAUUGCAAUCCCCAUUGUUCGGGCUCUGUGCUUUUCCCUCUGGUUCAGAAGUAUUCGAGAGAUGUCACUCAGUAACCAUCCAGGGUUUGAUUGUGGUGGCACUUUAUGGUUCCAAAAUUUGACCGAAUUGCCUCGUGAUGUUUUAAGCUGCAUCUUCCCUUUAAUGAUUGCUGGUUUGCAUUAUAGCUAUAUUCAGAAUUACUUUAAGCCAUCUUCAGGAAGGAAGUUCAUGUUUGGCUUAUUAUCUGAAGAAGAAUUUAAGUUCCAAUUGAAAGUUUUGACGCUGCCUAUCUACUUGUUUUGCUAUUUUGUUCCUCAGGGAUGUCUAGUCUAUUGGGUCACAAGUAAUUCACUCAAUAUUAUUCAGGCAUUAGCUCUGGCUGAUCCUCGUGUAUGUGCAAAGUUGGGGUUGCCAGACAAGAAUCAUAGUAAAGAGACUUCGAGUUGUGAGGAGUUGGAUAAUUCUAGACUAUCACCCUUGGUCUCUCCUAUGAAAUCAAAAAAGAUAUCUCCGCAGAUCCCAUCCCCUAGAGAUCUGAGUAAUCUUUCAAUCAAACUCUUAUCAGAAGGACAUAAAGAAAGAGCACUACAUUUGCUAAAAAUUGCUCUUGAAAAGGAUCCUGAAUAUAUAAGAGCAUUAAUUCUUAUGGGUCAGACUCUAUUGCAAAAGAAAUUGAAUGCAGAAGCAACCGAGUACUUUGAGCGUGCUAUAACAAAGAUCUUUAUUGCUGGUCAUCCGACAAAAGUAGAGGACAUUGAUAAUCUAAUUGUUGCAUCUCAGUGGGCUGGUAGCGCCUACAUACGACAGGGAAAAAUGGAGGAAGGGAUUGUACACCUUGAAAGAAUUGCACAGUUGGAAGAGCCAAAUGAACCAAAGAGCAAAGCUCAUUAUUUUGAUGGGUUGUUAAUGCUGGCAAGUGCUCUAUCAAAUGUGGGUCGCAAGGAUGAAGCUUUAAAGCAUCUGCGCUUGGCUGCUGCUUCUAAUCCUGCUUACAAGGAAUACUUGGAACAAUGUAAAAAUAUGGAUGACAGUGUUGUCAGUGGUAAUAGGAAAGUCCAGCAAGACAGAAGAAAAUUGGGCAACAAGAAGAAAGACAAGAAAAAGAAGAAUUGCUAGCGUGUUAGUAACAUCGUGCCUGUAUAGUCGUAGAAGGGUUGUUGCUUGAUGAUCGAGUGCAAUUGAUUAAUAUUGUAAGGUGACUGUAUGAGCUUCCUCUUGCUCAAGAGUUUGGCUCUGAAACUUUUGCAUGAACUUCUGUUAAAAGUAAGUACAUACAACAAAUAGAACAGGGGAGAAAUACUAAAAUGGAAUCAUGUAUGGGAAUACCCAUAUCCCAGCCUCAGGCAACCACUGUGAUUCUGUUGGCAACAAGGUCCAUGCAACGCGGUACAAUGCAAUUUGAUUUUCUACAGUCUUUCGAAUGCAAAAUCAAUCCAAGCCAUGCCUUUUUACAUAGUUCACAACCUCCAGCAGCUCGAACACUGCACUUCUUUACAUGGACAAAUAGCUUUUUA